This 374-nucleotide ribosomal RNA is filed under the name uncultured organism. RNAcentral's name for it is "bacterial SSU rRNA". It matches the Rfam family "Bacterial small subunit ribosomal RNA", at positions 526 to 896 of the family's 1533-position model. The record is from RNAcentral.
CGGGGGGAGCAAGCGUUGUUCGGAUUUACUGGGCGUAAAGGGCGCGUAGGCGGCCACCGCAAGUCGACUGUGAAAUCUCCGGGCUUAACCCGGAACGGUCAGCCGAUACUGCGGGGCUAGAGUGCAGAAGGGGCAACUGGAAUUCUCGGUGUAGCGGUGAAAUGCGUAGAUAUCGAGAGGAACACCUGCGGCGAAGGCGGGUUGCUGGGCUGACACUGACGCUGAUGCGCGAAAGCUAGGGGAGCGAACGGGAUUAGAUACCCCGGUAGUCCUAGCCUUAAACGAUGAAUGCUUGGUGUCUGGGGUUUUAUAGUCCCCGGGUGCCGUCGCUAACGCUUUAAGCAUUCCGCCUGGGGAGUACGGUCGCAAGACUG